UACGUAGGGUGCAAGCGUUGUCCGGAAUUAUUGGGCGUAAAGAGCUCGUAGGCGGUCUGUCGCGUCUGCUGUGAAAACUCAGGGCUUAACCCUGAGCUUGCAGUGGGUACGGGCAGACUAGAGUGCGGUAGGGGAGACUAGAAUUCCUGGUGUAGCGGUGAAAUGCGCAGAUAUCAGGAGGAACACCGGUGGCGAAGGCGGGUCUCUGGGCCGUAACUGACGCUGAGGAGCGAAAGCAUGGGGAGCGAACAGG
Molecule: ribosomal RNA, 253 nt
Filed under: uncultured bacterium
Lineage: Bacteria
Description: partial 16S ribosomal RNA
Rfam family: Bacterial small subunit ribosomal RNA
Source: RNAcentral